This 681-nucleotide ribosomal RNA is filed under the name Triticum aestivum (bread wheat). RNAcentral's name for it is "partial small subunit ribosomal RNA". The record is from RNAcentral. Lineage: Eukaryota; Viridiplantae; Streptophyta; Magnoliopsida; Poales; Poaceae.
AUGGCGUUCUACCGCGGCAGCAGCAGCACCGGCGGCGGCGACGAUGACGACGACAUCCCCGGUGCAUGGCCGACGAGCAUCGGAGUGCCGGAGACGGAGGAGCUCCAUCGCUACUGCCUCCCUGUGCCGCCGGGCUGUCGUCUUCCACGCAACUGGAAGAUCGACGCGGACGGCUUCGCGACGCCGGGUCCCUGCGCGACGGAGGAGGAGCUCCGCAACCAGAGCGGCGGCCGGCACAACAUCGAAGGCCGCAAGCACUUUUGGCGCGGGAAAGACUAUUGGGAGGUCAUGGCCGCCUUCCGCCUUGCGGCGGUCGGCGUGACCCCCGACCUGACGGGCCGCAGCGGCCGUCUUCGCGCACCGCCUCCACCGCACGAUCGCCGUAGACGUGGCGGCGGCCACGGUGCACACCCGGCAGCGGCGCCCGCGCCGGCCGCCCCUCCCUCGCCGCCGGAGAUCAAGUUGCCGCCGGAGCAGGUCAUCCUCCGCGAGGACGGCGAUCCGGAUGACACCCCGGGGUACCACGUGGCCGUACGGGCGUCAGAGGCUUCGGCGGCGGCGGCGGCGGCGAUGGAGGCCGCCGAGAUUGCGGCCGCAAUCGACGCGGCCGAGGCGAUGGCGGCGCAGCAGGCGGCGAUGGCGCUGCCGGAGUGGCAGCAGGUGCCGCCGGAGUGGCAGUAG